AUGGUGUCGGGGCUUCUCCCGCUU
RNAcentral lists this transfer RNA (24 nucleotides) under Cyrtodactylus novaeguineae. RNAcentral's name for it is "partial tRNA-Cys". Lineage: Eukaryota; Metazoa; Chordata; Lepidosauria; Squamata; Gekkonidae. The record is from RNAcentral.